Molecule: long non-coding RNA, 1551 nt
Organism: Zea mays
Lineage: Eukaryota; Viridiplantae; Streptophyta; Magnoliopsida; Poales; Poaceae
Exons: 5
Source: RefSeq, a predicted model, not a curated record
AUGGACACCCUAGUGACACUACACCAUGGAGGAAGCGUGGGGAUAGAUGCUUAUGGGAAUGUUAGUUUUGAUGGUAUGAAGAUCGUGACCAUGUUGUUCGAUGAAAGACCAUCUUUUGACAAGAUUUUCGCUCGAGCUUGUGAGGAGUUUAGUUGCAACAUAAACGACCCUAGAAUAUCAAUUCAGGGUUUGUUGUACCAGGUCGAGGAGCCAUUCACACGACACCAGCGUGCGUACGUGGAGUACUCAAACGAGCUCGACUCACUUACUCCUUCAAUGGUGACCUGGCAACCGUAUCUUGAUCCAUAUUUCGCCAGCAUACAGUUGAGCAGCAUGUGCUCAAUAGACGAGGACAUCUACCUAAUGAGGUGUCCCCUCAUUUGUUUUUAUGCUGUUGAGUACCACUUGCCCCCACAGAGUUUCUCGACAGUUUGGAUUGCGACAGGAGUUUCCGGUGGAGCCCUUCUCGACUUCAAUAGAACUUCAUAAGUUCGACAGACAGAGACAGAAGAAGGCCACGGACUUCGAGACCCACCACCGUGAUUAUAUUGAUGAAUGGGAACAACAGGGGGAUCUUAACUAUGUCAACGAACAGGCACACACAAACUACCACUUUCGAAGGUAUUUGAUUUGGUAUGCUGGUGUGACUAGGUGCAAGCUUAAGGGACAGUGGACAACUGCAGACUAUGCGAAGCAAGAAUCGUCAGACGACGAAGACACUGCGUUCGACAUAGCUGCUCGGCACGGGUCCCAAAUUGAGGCUGCUCCAAUCCUUGACAGAGUGGGAAACUCUAUGCUCGUAUCUGUUGUUGAACUUGAGCGUAUCUUAUAGAGAACUUCAGAUAGUACUACGCUUUCGUUACUAUCAAGGGUAUCACGUCGUCUUCGUCGUGCAUCGGCUCGUUGUGAAUGCCGGUCUCUAGCGAGCGUUGACGUGCAGCUGCCUAUGCCUCCUAUGCAGCCGGAUGUUCAACAUCCCAUUUGUGCAGUUGGACCAUCUACAGCUGGACUGAGCUCCUCGCGAUCGACGCGGGAUACGUUUGAAUACGUGGCCCACGACGACGAGGACGACGACGAUGAACACGACGACGACGCUGGUGCCGCAGGUCAGGAGGAGAUUGGACCAUCACAGUUGCAGGAUGCUCCUACAACUCAGCCAUCACAGCUGACACCACGUAGAAGGCGUCCAUGUGACCCUUACACUCCAGGCACCGACGCUCUUGGGGCCAAGGGCAAGGGUAAGACUAGGAGGAAAUGAAUACUUCGUGAUGUUGGUCUUAUGCUGAAAACUUUGUGAUUUGGACUCAUGCUGGAAACGUUGUAAUGUGAACUAUGUUAUGUGUUUUGGACUAUGUUUUGUGGACAUUGUAUUUUGGACUAUGUUUUGUGGACAUUGUAUGAAGAACUAUGUUAUGUGGAUGUUUUUAUAUUCUCUGUUAUUUUGUGAUGUAUUGUAUGUUGAAAUGUGGUCAUGUCUUAUAAUAUGUGAUUAUUUGAACUGUGGUUGUUAAUAAAAUAAGGGGAACUCUUGCAAAUUUUUUUUGUGAAUUG